UACAGAGGGUGCAAGCGUUGUUCGGAUUCAUUGGGCGUAAAGGGUGCGUAGGCGGCGCGGUAAGUCGGGUGUGAAAUCUCGGAGCUUAACUCCGAAACUGCAUUCGAUACUGCCGUGCUUGAGGACUGGAGAGGAGACUGGAAUUUACGGUGUAGCGGUGAAAUGCGUAGAUAUCGUAAGGAAGACCAGUGGCGAAGGCGGGUCUCUGGACAGUUACUGACGCUGAGGCACGAAGGCCAGGGGAGCAAACGGG
This 253-nucleotide ribosomal RNA is filed under the name uncultured bacterium. Its description in RNAcentral is "partial 16S ribosomal RNA". It matches the Rfam family "Bacterial small subunit ribosomal RNA", at positions 524 to 776 of the family's 1533-position model. The record is from RNAcentral.